UACGUAGGUGGCAAGCGUUGCCCGGAUUUACUGGGCGUAAAGGGCGCGUAGGCGGAUAGUUUAGUCAGAGGUGAAAGCCCAGGGCUCAACCUUGGAAUUGCCUUUGAUACUGGCUAUCUUGAGUUCGGGAGAGGUGAGUGGAAUGCCGAGUGUAGAGGUGAAAUUCGUAGAUAUUCGGCGGAACACCAGUGGCGAAGGCGACUCACUGGCCCGAUACUGACGCUGAGGCGCGAAAGCGUGGGGAGCAAACAGG
RNAcentral lists this ribosomal RNA (253 nucleotides) under uncultured bacterium. RNAcentral's name for it is "partial 16S ribosomal RNA". It matches the Rfam family "Bacterial small subunit ribosomal RNA", at positions 524 to 776 of the family's 1533-position model. The record is from RNAcentral.